UCAAUGAUCAUGUCACCAAUGAUUUCAACACCCUCUUUCGAUCAGUACCCAUCGAUCGAUCCUACUAUGCAUUCGGAGUUCCAGGAACAUUCCAUGGUAGAUUAUUUCCAUCGCGAUCGAUACAUUUUGCACAUUGUUCUACUGCAAUACAUUGGUUAUCUAAGUGUCCAGAAGAGUUGUUAGAUGAGAAAUCUCCAGCAUGGAAUAAGGGAUUGAUACACUACGCAGGUACAUCAAAUGUUGAAGUGUUGAAUGCUUAUGUUGCUCAAUUUGAAAAAGACAUGGAAAUGAUGGUGAUAAUUUCACCACAAUCAAUUGAACGUCUAGUGAAAUUUUUUGGUUCUUGUCUUAUAGAUUUGGUGAAUGAGGUAAGUAGUUUGUUUGUCUCACUUUUCUUUUUUAAGUAUCUUACAAUAAGAACUUAUAUUUCCUUUUUUUGACAACUUAUUAAUUAGUUUCAGUUUUUAAUGCAUGACACGUUUAUGAUUACAAUAUUAAAAGACACUUUGGUACAUUCCACAUAUAUUUAAUUUGGACCACAAUAUUCAAAAGUCUUCUUUACCUUCUUAAAUUUCAUGUCAAAUCAAAAUAAACAAACAAAUUAAAACGACUUUCUUUUUUGGCAACUUUUAAAUUUCAACUUUUCACUUGACAUGUUUAAGAUCAAAAGAUUAAAGAAUAUUUUGGUACGUUCCACUUAUCUUUAGUUUAGAGACCACAAGAUUCAAUAAUUUUUUUUUAAUUACUUUUUUAAAUUUCGUGUCUAAUCAAAACCAAACAAAAUAAACAAAAUUAGAGAAAAUGCACUGUUUCCACCCUGAACUAUAAAUAAAAUUGUUGAGACAUACUCCAACUUAAAGGGGGUCCUAUAACCCUCCCCCAGACUAAUUAAAAUUGUAUUUUUGGCAACCUUAGUGCCUACGUGGCUCAUUGCGUGAAUCAACACACUGAAGGUCCACGUAGGCACUGAGGUUUUUCAAAAUACGAUUUUAAUUAGUCCAGGGGGUAAUAGGACCCCCUUUAAGUUUGGGUGUAUCUCAACAAUUUUAUUUUUAGUUCAGGGUGAAAAGGGUGCAUUUACCGACAAAAUUAAGCAGAGUAACAAUUAUAGCCAUAUAAUUUUAAUAUUGAUGUUUAUUUCUUUUUGGCAAAGGGAAAAUUAGAUGAAUCUCUAGUUGACUCAUUUAAUGUGCCAGCAUACUCUCCCUCUCCUCAAGACAUGACUAAAGCAGUGGAGAAAAAUGAUUGUUUUAGCAUUAAGAGAAUAGAGUUAACGUAUCCCAAAUCAAAGCUUGUGGAUGAGGCUAACGCAAAGGCUUUACUAAUAAGUUUAAGGGUUGCUUUAGAAGGAGUUUUCAUUAAUCAUUUUGGAAGUGAAAUAGCAGAAGAAGCUUUUGAAAGGACUAUCCUCAAAAGCGAUGAAACUUCAACAUGGAUGAAAACGAAUUAUAAAAAAGCAUGUCAAUUAUUUAUCGCUUUGAAGCGUAAAUAAGUUUCUAUAGAGAAAUUCAUAUAUUAUAUAAUUCAGGUCUAUGGUGUGAUGUGACACAUCUCAUAGAUUGAAAUUUUUAUUUGUCUAUUUUUUUAAAUAUUUUUGACUUUAUCAUCGUACCUUUCACUUAGGGGUCGUUUGGUAGAGUGUAUUGAAAUGUUAAUGCAUCCAUUAGUUUAAUAUGUAUUAGUAGUACCUUGUUUGGUAUACCUUUUUACCCUAUGUAUAACUAAUGCAAGCAUUAGUUAUACACUCUAUUGUGUAUUAAAGUGUGUAUUACUAAUACCUCAAAAUCCAUGGCAUUAGUAAUGCAAUGGAUCUAAUGCACGCAUUAACAUGCUUAAAGACCCUAUUACCCCUCAAAAAAUUUUCUGCAUCCUUUCCAACAUAUAUAUUGAGGGUAUUAUAUAACAAAAAAUUUUUUUUAAUAGAAAUUAUGUAAUUCAUAAUUUUUUUAAUACAUUGAACCAAACACUACAUAAGAAAAAUACAAGCAUAAUUAAUGCCAGCAUAACAAACACAAGCAUUACUAAUACACCAUAUUUUGAAUUAUUCUUAUACACUCUACCAAACGACCCCUUAAUUUGUUCUACAAUUACAUUAAACUACCCACAAUAUGCUUGUAGAAAAUGUUGUCAAUCCUUCUUUUGUAGCACUUUUUUCAAGCUUCAGUGUGACAAAACUAGCCCAAACCUAUUUGACCAGCCCAACUCACAAAGUGAUUUUGAAGAUGUACUGAUUUGAGUCAGCACAAUUGAACCAUCAUAAAUCAACCCAAUGGGCUCAUAAUGAUGCCCAACUUUGUCCCAUAAAGAUAUUUAAACCUACUACUUAUAGUCCAAUUUUUUUAUAUUUUUAAUUUUUUUUAGUUGCUUCAAUUAUAUUCUUUUUCCGUCUUGAAAAAAUUAUUGUAAUAAAUAAUUUUUUAAUAAAAAUAAAGUGAAUUUAAUUCCCCCGAAACUCUAUACCCAGUAUUGGCCGGCUGACGGUGUAAUACGCGCGCCACUCUCGUUUUUACACGUGUAUCCAACCUCAUAUUUACACUUGUCCAAGUGGACAGAUAUAUGCUAUUAAAAUGCGAAAAAAAAAGUCUAGGGAUAAUAGGACCCCCGCAAAGUUCUGUAUGCGCUCAACUGAAAAUCUGAUCAAAGUUCAGAUAUUUUUGUGAGUAUUAUCCCUAAAACAUAUGAGCAUGCAUUUUAAAUUGAGGUUUCUUUCUUUUUUUAUGUAGGGAAUGCUAGAUGAAUCUCUAUUUGACUCGUUUAAUUUGCCAAUGUAUUUUCCUUCUCCUGAAGAUAUGACUAAAGUGGUGGAGAAAAAUGAUUGUUUUAGUAUUGAGAUAAUGGAGUUGACAUAUCUCAAAUCAAAGCUUGUGGAAGAGACUGAUGCAAAGACUUUAUAAUGAUAAAUCUAAGGGCUGUUUUAGAAGGACUAAUAAUAAAUCACUUUAGAAGUAAAAUAGCAAAAGAAGCUUGUGCAAGGACUAUUCUCAAAAGUAAAGAGAUUUCGACAUGGAUUAAAGCGAAUUAUGAGAAAUCAUGUCAAUUGUUUGUCGCUUUGAAGCAUAAAUGAAUUUCUAGGGAGGAAUCUAUGGCAGAAGUUUAGUAACUAGUCGAGCAUUGUCUAAGUAAUUUUCCUUUAAAAUAUUGUCAUUAUUAUCUGCAUUUUAUUUGCUUCGCUUGCUAUAUUAUUUGUUGUUUCUACUGUUCUUGUGACUCUUAUUUUUAGCUAUUUAUUGUUGCUACUGAACUGUUUUUCAUUAUUUUUAACCUAACUUCUUCAAUGAUGUAUUUUCCCUUUUCUUUCAUACUUUGUGAUAUACUAUUUAUUUUGCUUGAACCAAGAAUCUGUUAAAAACACCUCUCUGACUCCAUGGGGGGACUAAUGAUGAUAAUGUACUAAAAUAGUCAACACACAUUCAUAUUUGAAACUUUUCGAAAAAUUGCUCGAGCUUUAGUAAAAUUUAGAGCACAAUCAUAUUUGAAAUGAUUUAUUUCUGAAAGAUCUCUGAUUAAAGGGGAGAUCCCUGAUUUUGUGCAAACGACUUUGUCAAAGAAAAUAACUGAGUAUCCGAAACUCAGAGAGAAAAAAAAAGACUCUGAUACCAAGUUGAAUAAAGAGAGAUUCAGAACAUUACAGAUAAAGGGAUCGUGAUUUCUUUCACGAAUUAGAACAGUAGAGUAUACAUUGAAUUUAUAAAAAGAAAGGGGUCAUAAUUGUCUUCUAAUUACUAGCCUUUCUAAUUACUAGCCUAGUAACCUGAUAGAUCCCUGAUUUAUUCUAAAGGAUCUCUGAUUAAAGGGGAGAUCCCUGAUUUUGUACAAACGACUUUGCUAGGAAAAAAAAACUGAAUAUUCCGAACUUAGAAAGAGAAAAAAAUGAGACUCUGAUAUCAAGUUGAAUAAAGAGAGAUUCAAAACAUUAAAGAUAGAGGUAUCGUGAUUUCUUUCACUAAUUAGAACAGUAGAGUGUACAUUACUUUAUACAAAAAAAAAAAGUAGCUCUAAUUGUCUUCUAAUUACUAGCCUAGUAACAAAGGAUAUCUCUGAUUUAUGAUUAAAGGAUCUCUAAUUAAUGGGGAGAUCUCUGAUUUUCACAAUGCUAAAUAAGCUACGGACUAAAUAAGAUACAUAUUUUAUGAAGCUAAAUAAGCUACGGUUAAUAACUUCCAUCUCAUACUAUUUCAUCUCGAGCUAUCAUCGUUGGCCUUGACAUGAAACCACUAUCUAAGCAUAUAUUUUCAGCCUGAACUUGUGUGCUUAUCCUCUUUGAAUGCAUAAUAAAAUAGCUUUCUCGUUAUAUAUAUUUCACAAAUAAAAUAAAGCAUAAAUUCAUGAAUAAUUUACUAUAUAUAUUAACCGUCAACUAAAUAUUGCAUUAGUUAUAUCAAGAUUAUUUUUUUUCUUAUACAUCCAACCAAACAUAGUGCAUUAAGUAGUUAUGCAUAGAUCAUUUUUUUUCUACCAAUCAAACCGUUUAAAUUGGAUUUGUUAUGUUUUAAAAAGAUACUUUCUGCGUUUGGUUUUACUUCAUUAAUAAAAAUAAUGUUUACAUUGUCUUAAAAUUAAUUUAAAGAAAAUAUAACUAAUGCUAAGGGUAAAAUAGGAAAAAAGAAAUUUUUUUUUUUUAUAUGUCAAAAAUGACUGUGAAAGUAGAAACACAAUUAGGAAAUUAGUGACAAGUAAAAGUGAACAGAGGAUGUAUUAAAUAUUCAUUCUCGUCUUACAAGUCAACUGUGUGUGAUAUUAUCAUCCAUUUUGAUAAGAUUAUUCUUGAGGAAUAAAUUUAAAACAUAAAUGGUUCCAAAUCAAUUAUUUUUCCUCAAAUUCAACAAUAAUUAUAUUAACGUUGAAAGCAGAGUCUCGUGCUGAUAACGUAUUAUGAAAUAACUAAGAAUAAAGAAGAAAAGUAUAGAGAGAAUAGAUCAACUAGAUUUUGAUAGAUCUUAUCUAUAUAGACAUUCAAUAUAAUGUAAAUACAUUUAUAACAUAUGUAUUAAAUUUAAACAAAUAAAUCCAAGACUUUUUAUUAAGUUUUUUUUUAGGCUAAUUUCCUGCUUUUAUAAAGUAAAAAAUUUAAUAGCUUGUUUGGUUGAAGUGAUAAAGAAAAAUACUUAAAUAGUAUAAAAUCUCUCAUAAAUAUAGAAAUUACAAAUUUAACUCAUGAAACCAUGAUUUGUCCAACUUACUCAAAUUUAUUAAUUUAUCUCAUUUAAAAGUGAAUUAGGUUGAUAAGUAGUACAAAUUAACCCAUAAAAAAAUUGUCAUAAUAUUUUUUUGGAGAUUAUAAAUUAUAUAUAGCUAUAAUAAAAAAAAUAAUUUUAUUAAUUCAUCACAGAAUUAUAAAAGGACAAAUAAAAAAAAUUGUAACUUAAUAAGAAUUUAUUUCUGUCCAACACAUGCAUGCCAUUUAGUCAAAAUAAAGCAAUUUAAUUUCUUUGGCCCAACACUAUUUUAGUGAAAUUGCCAACAUUUCUCUGGUUGCUUGAUUAUGAAAUGUCUCAUUAUAAUCACUUUUAGUAGUUUGAUAAAUAUGAUUAACUGACUAUAUUUAUGUAAUAUUAAAAUUGGUUCCCAGCUAAUCAAACACAAACCUCCAUUCACCCUGUGCAUUCAUUUUGGGAUAUUUUCAAAAAUAUACCAUUUGAAAAAAAUAAUUAUAUUAUUAGCUCGUUGCAUGGGCUUUACCUAGUGCGGUUUACAUCUCCUGUGUGGUUUACGAGCAAUUGCACAGCGAGGGGUUUACCCAGUGCUCACCACAGAGUGCUCACCCAAAGGGCAGAUGUUGUAGCGGCUCUAGGUUAUCUUGAAAUUUCAAAAAAAAAAAAAAAACAUUAUGCGACUUUAUAUAAUAUUAUGAAUUUACGGUAUAAAAAUCUCUCUCUCUCUCUCUCUCUCUAUAUAUAUAUAUAUAUAUAUAUAUAUAUAUAUAUAUAUAUACUAGUUUAGCUAGACAUGCCUCGCACGUGUAACAUUUGAUUAUUUAAAAUUAAAUGAUUUUAUCUAUUGCAAAGAUUUUAAUGAAGUGUAAAAGUUUAAAUCACUUUAAAAGAUUCUUCACACUUUAAUAUAAUAACGUAAACAUAAACAUACUUUUUACUGUAAGCACACAUAUAUAUUUUGCAUCAUCACUUUUACGUUUGUUAUGCAGUACCUCCUUCCCUUGAUGUCAUAGACUAAGAGAGACGCAACAAUUUGAAUCAUAUUUGUGAUAUGGUUAUUUUUUUUUUUGUUUCUAUAUUUAAAAUUCUUCCUUGUUUUUAAAGUCAAAUAUUUACAAAUUCAUUGUUAUUACGUACUUAAAACUUUUUAAAAUUUGGAACUUUUUGAUUUUUUUCUUAUUUUAACGCUUUUACAUUUAUUUCUAGGUUUUUCAAAUCUUCUUUAAAUCACUUAAAACUUUUAAACAUUUGGUACUUUUUGAAUUUUUCUUAUUUUAACGCUUUUAUAUUUAUUUCUAGAUUUUUCAAAUCUUCUUUAAAUCAAAUUUAGUUGAUUUAGAAUUCUAAAAUUAAUGAAAAAAAAUAUUAGUUAUCAUUAAUUCUGAUGACUUCUAAUAAGGAAAGAUUUUACCAUAAAUAUAUUUAAUUAAUUUUCAACUCUUUUAUAUUAGUAAAAAAAAUAGUGAAAGAUUUUACCAUAAAUAUAUUUAAUUAAUUUUCAACUCUUAAAUAUAAAUAUUAGAAAAAAAUAGUGAACAUACGAUUUUGUCUAAUGCAAAAAACUUUUAAUGAAGGGCAAAAAGUUCAAAUUACAUUUCUAAGACCCUUCACACUUUUAAUAUAUUAUAGAUAUAUCACACCCCUUUUUCCACUCCGAAAGGAUAAGAUUUUCAGUUUGAAAGGAUUUUUAUUAUUAAAGUGACAAAAGAUUAAAAAUUUAUUUUGAAAAAGGACUAUUUACAUUUUUUAUUCAGAGUCGUCACUUGGCAUAAUCCGGUGUGCCAAGUCACCUUUGGAAAAUCCUUUUCAAAACUGUUUUGACUUUUUUAAAACUGGUUUGCGAACAGAGAUUCCAGCUAAGGAAUUCUGUUGACCGAGGAAAAGGUGUUAGGCACUCCUCGAUUCCGUGGUUCGACCAUGGUCGCUUGGUAGAGUGUAUCGGCUAAUUUUAAUACUAUGAAUGUACAAACCACACACAAAAAAAAGAUCAAUCAAACAAACAAAUCCAAAACAAUGUCCAGUCCAAAUUAUACAAUCCCAAAAAUUGUAAUAAAAAAAUGCAAAAAUGUAAAUCGUAUUCUAAACUAAUCCUAGACUAAUGCUCUACCCAACGCUUCGGGUCUUUCUCACGAAUGUAUUUCGAGUACAAGAUACCUCGGGGCAUUCCCCGACUAAAUAAAUACAUUUUUCAGUGUCAGAAAAUCUAAACUAUUCAAUAGAACUUCAAACAUUCAACAGAAUUUCAAAUAUUCGACCAAACACUUAAUCCUAAAUUUUUGCCUACCCAAACCUAUAUUUACCUAUCCGUUGCAACAUGAUCCUAUCAAGUUCACAAACCUGAUAUUUAUUCCAAAUUAAACAAAGCAACAAUAGAUCAAAGUUAACCCAAAUGCAUCUUACCAAACAUGCAAUUCCCAUCCCUCAUUUCAUGCUCAAUCACACGCUUAAUUCAUUCUUCGAUUAACGAUUCAAUUUUCUCUUCAAAAUCCAAAACCAACCUCAACCGUACACACAAAAAAUAUUCAAGCAUGGCAAGCACACAAAGACAUUCAUCUACAAAAAUAAUCGAGAUUCAAGAUAAAGAUAGAGAACGAGAGAAGAAAUGGACCUCAAAUUUUGCUUUUAUGAAUGUUAUCCUGUUGAAACAAAAGAGAAUUCGCGCCGAGAACCUCGACAAUGAACCAAACUCCAACCCGGUAUUUGGGAAAUUGUAACCUCGAACAGAGUAUUUGGGAAAUUGUAACCUCGAACAGAGUAGCAACAGAGCAAUCUGCCCAGAAACUAUUUCAACAAAGGAAAAUCGAUGAACCCAAAGCCCGAUUUUGAAACUAAAAUGCUAAGACAGAUGAUCCAAAGCCUCAGUCAACACAAUAAAAGACCAAAACUGAUGUAUCUUGAGCUUCGGUGAGCUCAGACGGAAGCAAAACACAACGGAUUAAGACAGAUUCUGGAUCGACGAGGCCUAAAACCGCUGGACAACCACUGGUUCCGGCGAGACUAGCUGUUUGACUGUUUCCGACCAGAUUCAUCCAAGAUAGGGAGAAAACCUAGAGAUUCCGGUGAAGUAGUCGCCUGAACAGUGACUAAACGCACAAAAAAAUCUUUUUCCCCUUUGAUUCUCACUUCAUCUCACCCACUUUUCUUCUUUUCUCAUUGUUUUCACUCAUGUUUUCGAAUUUCAAUCAGUGUGUAUGUAGUGUGUUUGUGAAGAAAAGAAAGAAAUGAAAAUGGAGCUCUUUAAGUGGUCUGUGUUAGGAGUGUGCAUCAAUGGUGGAGUUCUAUUGUUGUUCUACCAUGGAAAUUAAAAAAAAAUGGAGGUGGUCUAUAUUUCUAAAGUGGGGUGAGGGUCAAAGAAAGAAAGAAAAAACAUUGAGAGUCGUUCCCUGAUGAAGAUGAUCCUAAAAAAAAAAUGGGUCCUCUUUUCCUUUUCCUUUGUGAUCAAGAAAUGUGAGGAAAAAAACGGGGGCACUUGAGUGGGGGGUGAGAUGAUUUAUUUUGAUUGGGUAGGUUGUUAGGAUAAGAUAAAAUUAGGUAGAGGUUAUUGUUUUGUUAUUUUGUGGAGGGAUUAUAACAUGGGUGAGGGUACAUGGUAGGAUAAAGUAAAAAAUAGGUAAAAAUAAUAUCGGGGAGAAACGAAAUUAGGUGUCUACAAGAUAUAGAUUAUAG
Molecule: long non-coding RNA, 8819 nt
Filed under: Capsicum annuum
Lineage: Eukaryota; Viridiplantae; Streptophyta; Magnoliopsida; Solanales; Solanaceae
Description: long non-coding RNA (CANN_LNC022419)
Source: RNAcentral